GCGGCAGUAGUAUAGUGGUCUAGUAUACGGCGUUGCCAACGCUGUGACCCGAGUUCAAAUCUAUGACGUUGACUAUGGUCUGAACGUCAAGUGAAUGUCUCGGCUGCCGCA
This 111-nucleotide transfer RNA is filed under the name Nanobdellota archaeon. RNAcentral describes it as "tRNA-Gly". Lineage: Archaea; Nanobdellati; Nanobdellota. The record is from RNAcentral.